UUGUGGCCUUUAGACACACUACCAACGGCGGCGCGAGCGUAAGCCUCUUGGAACAGAGCGUCUACGUGGGUGAGAAUCCUGUAUUUCGCUUGAUUGCCGCCGUGCACGGUACUUGCUCUCAGAGUCACGCUCCUCGGAAUUGGAGCGUAAAUUGGGUGGUAAAUUUCAUCUAAAGCUAAAUACAGGCUCGAGACCGAUAGCAAACAAGUACCAUGAGGGAAAGAUGAAAAGGACUUUGAAAAGAGAGUUAAAAGUGCUUGAAAUCGCUGAACUGGAAGCGAAUGGAACUAGUGCUCUGGUUGAGAUUGCUGCAAGUGGCUGCGACAUCUGGGCUCUGGAACGCAAGUCCUUUGUCUGGUUUGAAGUAGUUGCUUGUAAUGUGUCUCAGCUUGAACAUCAGCGUCUAUGCAUACGUGAGGAUGGCCCUUAGCUCAUGCUGUGUUGCUGGGGCGAUAYYCUUGUGCUUUGGGGAU
RNAcentral lists this ribosomal RNA (473 nucleotides) under Symbiodinium sp. clade A. RNAcentral describes it as "eukaryotic LSU rRNA". It matches the Rfam family "Eukaryotic large subunit ribosomal RNA", at positions 143 to 575 of the family's 3401-position model. The record is from RNAcentral. Lineage: Eukaryota; Dinophyceae; Suessiales; Symbiodiniaceae.